UACGAAGGGUGCAAGCGUUACUCGGAAUUACUGGGCGUAAAGCGUGCGUAGGUGGUUCGUUAAGUCUGAUGUGAAAGCCCUGGGCUCAACCUGGGAAUGGCAUUGGAUACUGGCGACCUAGAGUGCGGUAGAGGGGUGUGGAAUUCCCGGUGUAGCAGUGAGAUGCGUAGAUAUCGGGAGGAACAUCUGUGGCGAAGGCGACACCCUGGACCAGCACUGACACUGAGGCACGAAAGCGUGGGGAGCAAACAGG
This 253-nucleotide ribosomal RNA is filed under the name uncultured bacterium. RNAcentral describes it as "partial 16S ribosomal RNA". It matches the Rfam family "Bacterial small subunit ribosomal RNA", at positions 524 to 776 of the family's 1533-position model. The record is from RNAcentral.